GCGGAUGUAGCCAAGUGGAUCAAGGCAGUGGAUUGUGAAUCCACCAUGCGCG
This is a non-coding RNA of Triticum aestivum (bread wheat), 52 nucleotides long. Lineage: Eukaryota; Viridiplantae; Streptophyta; Magnoliopsida; Poales; Poaceae. The record is from Rfam.